GCUGGGUGUGGUGGCGGGCGCCUGUAAUCCCAGCUACUCAGAGGCUGAGGUAGGAGAAUUGCUUGAACCCAGGAGAUGGAGGUUGCAGUGAACUAAGAUCGUACCACUGUACCCCCAGCCUGGGCAACAAAGCAAGACUCCAUCUCAA
RNAcentral lists this non-coding RNA (148 nucleotides) under Gorilla gorilla gorilla (western lowland gorilla). Lineage: Eukaryota; Metazoa; Chordata; Mammalia; Primates; Hominidae. The record is from Rfam by way of RNAcentral.